Molecule: long non-coding RNA, 288 nt
Filed under: Medicago truncatula (barrel medic)
Lineage: Eukaryota; Viridiplantae; Streptophyta; Magnoliopsida; Fabales; Fabaceae
Description: long non-coding RNA (MTRU_LNC008436)
Source: RNAcentral
UUGCAGGGGGUAGGAGAUGGAAGUGGACGAGCAAGUACUGGACUAAUACUAGGUUGGUGUAAAAAUCAUUUCACAAAGUUGCACGAAGAAAUAGAUAAUAGAUGGAUUUAUUCUUUCACCUAUCAUUUCCCCUAUUACCACCACUCAUGAGAAUCUUGGACCGGAUAAAGGUAAAGUUAUACAAUUUGCUAAUGUUGUUAAUAACUCUAAAGCUUGCAGGAGAAGUGAGAAAAUUCUGAGCAUACUUUGGGCAGAUGAUUUGGACACUGAUCAGGCAUCUGAUAGCAC